RNAcentral lists this ribosomal RNA (465 nucleotides) under Vreelandella stevensii. RNAcentral describes it as "partial 16S ribosomal RNA". It matches the Rfam family "Bacterial small subunit ribosomal RNA", at positions 338 to 795 of the family's 1533-position model. Lineage: Bacteria; Pseudomonadati; Pseudomonadota; Gammaproteobacteria; Oceanospirillales; Halomonadaceae. The record is from RNAcentral.
CCUACGGGGGGCUGCAGUGGGGAAUAUUGGACAAUGGGGGGAACCCUGAUCCAGCCAUGCCGCGUGUGUGAAGAAGGCCCUCGGGUUGUAAAGCACUUUCAGUGAGGAAGAACGCCUGGUGGUUAAUACCCAUCAGGAAAGACAUCACUCACAGAAGAAGCACCGGCUAACUCCGUGCCAGCAGCCGCGGUAAUACGGAGGGUGCGAGCGUUAAUCGGAAUUACUGGGCGUAAAGCGCGCGUAGGUGGCUUGAUAAGCCGGUUGUGAAAGCCCCGGGCUCAACCUGGGAACGGCAUCCGGAACUGUCAAGCUAGAGUGCAGGAGAGGAAGGUAGAAUUCCCGGUGUAGCGGUGAAAUGCGUAGAGAUCGGGAGGAAUACCAGUGGCGAAGGCGACCUUCUGGACUGACACUGACACUGAGGUGCGAAAGCGUGGGUAGCAAACAGGAUUAGAUACCCUUGUAGUC